Molecule: unclassified non-coding RNA, 334 nt
Filed under: soil metagenome
Description: partial contains 5.8S ribosomal RNA, internal transcribed spacer 2, and large subunit ribosomal RNA
Rfam family: 5.8S ribosomal RNA (bases 1-120)
Source: RNAcentral
GAUGAAGAACGCAGCGAAAUGCGAUAAGUAAUGUGAAUUGCAGAAUUCAGUGAAUCAUCGAAUCUUUGAACGCACAUUGCGCCCGCCAGUAUUCUGGCGGGCAUGCCUGUUCGAGCGUCAUUUCAACCAUCAAGCCCUGCUUGCGUUGGGGUCCUGCGGCUGCCCGCAGGCCCUUAAAACCAGUGGCGGGCUCGCUAGUCACACCGAGCGCAGUAAUACAUCUCGCUUUGGGCGUGCGGCGGGUUCUUGCCGUUAAACACCCCCUUUUUACCAAGGUUGACCUCGGAUCAGGUAGGAAUACCCGCUGAACUUAAGCAUAUCAAUAAGCGGAGGA